CAGUUCUCAGACAUUCACCGAGUGCUGACCACAUGCCAGGGACUUACACCCACCCACCAAGUCCACACUGAGCCCUGCAGAGGAAUCCCUGACACCCCCAUUUUGCAGAUUAGGAAGCAGAAGCUAAGCGAAAGCAGAAUCAAGAUUCAAACCCAGGCACGGUGAAACCAGAGCUGUCCAACUGCUAGGAGAAAACAGGGCCUCAGAGAUGAUGGCUGAGCCAUGAAAAGGUGGGGUCAGAAGCCAGGCCCAGUCUCCUGAAUUCCAGACUCCAGAAUCUCCCCCAGGAUUGAGGUGUCCGGCACACUUCUCAGGAGGUCCUGAAACCAG
This 330-nucleotide long non-coding RNA is filed under the name Pan troglodytes (chimpanzee). Its description in RNAcentral is "long non-coding RNA NONPTRT017268". The record is from RNAcentral. Lineage: Eukaryota; Metazoa; Chordata; Mammalia; Primates; Hominidae.